RNAcentral lists this ribosomal RNA (320 nucleotides) under uncultured eukaryote. RNAcentral's name for it is "partial 18S ribosomal RNA". It matches the Rfam family "Eukaryotic small subunit ribosomal RNA", at positions 1470 to 1796 of the family's 1831-position model. The record is from RNAcentral.
CCCCUAGAUGUUCUGGGCCGCACGCGCGCUACACUGAACAGUUCAACAAGUCUUAACCUUGGCCGAUAGGUCUGGGUAAUCUUUGAACGCUGUUCGUGAUUGGGAUAGACCUUUGCAAUUAUGGGUCUUCAACGAGGAAUUCCUAGUAAACGCAAGUCAUCAGCUUGCAUUGAUUACGUCCCUGCCCUUCGUACACACCGCCCGUCGCACCUACCGAUUGAAUGGUCCGGUGAAAUCUCGGGACGGCGGCUUGGUCGCUUGCGUCCGACUGCUGAAACUUGAUUAAACCAUAUCAUUUAGAGGAAGGUGAAGUCGUAACA